This 250-nucleotide ribosomal RNA is filed under the name uncultured prokaryote. RNAcentral's name for it is "partial 16S ribosomal RNA". It matches the Rfam family "Bacterial small subunit ribosomal RNA", at positions 524 to 773 of the family's 1533-position model. The record is from RNAcentral.
AACGUAGGGGGCGAGCGUUGUCCGGAAUCACUGGGCGUAAAGGGCGCGCAGGCGGUCGAUUAAGUCUGGUGUCAAAGCCCACGGCUUAACCGUGGAGGGGCACUGGAAACUGGUUGACUUGAGUGCAGGAGAGGGAAGCGGAAUUCCACGUGUAGCGGUGAAAUGCGUAGAGAUGUGGAGGAACACCAGUGGCGAAGGCGGCUUUCUGGCCUGGCACUGACGCUGAGGCGCGAAAGCGUGGGUAGCGAAC